This 2925-nucleotide ribosomal RNA is filed under the name Escherichia coli. RNAcentral describes it as "23S ribosomal RNA". It matches the Rfam family "Bacterial large subunit ribosomal RNA". Lineage: Bacteria; Pseudomonadati; Pseudomonadota; Gammaproteobacteria; Enterobacterales; Enterobacteriaceae. The record is from RNAcentral.
GGGUUGUGAGGUUAAGCGACUAAGCGUACACGGUGGAUGCCCUGGCAGUCAGAGGCGAUGAAGGACGUGCUAAUCUGCGAUAAGCGUCGGUAAGGUGAUAUGAACCGUUAUAACCGGCGAUUUCCGAAUGGGGAAACCCAGUGUGAUUCGUCACACUAUCAUUAACUGAAUCCAUAGGUUAAUGAGGCGAACCGGGGGAACUGAAACAUCUAAGUACCCCGAGGAAAAGAAAUCAACCGAGAUUCCCCCAGUAGCGGCGAGCGAACGGGGAGCAGCCCAGAGCCUGAAUCAGUGUGUGUGUUAGUGGAAGCGUCUGGAAAGGCGCGCGAUACAGGGUGACAGCCCCGUACACAAAAAUGCACAUGCUGUGAGCUCGAUGAGUAGGGCGGGACACGUGGUAUCCUGUCUGAAUAUGGGGGGACCAUCCUCCAAGGCUAAAUACUCCUGACUGACCGAUAGUGAACCAGUACCGUGAGGGAAAGGCGAAAAGAACCCCGGCGAGGGGAGUGAAAAAGAACCUGAAACCGUGUACGUACAAGCAGUGGGAGCACGCUUAGGCGUGUGACUGCGUACCUUUUGUAUAAUGGGUCAGCGACUUAUAUUCUGUAGCAAGGUUAACCGAAUAGGGGAGCCGAAGGGAAACCGAGUCUUAACUGGGCGUUAAGUUGCAGGGUAUAGACCCGAAACCCGGUGAUCUAGCCAUGGGCAGGUUGAAGGUUGGGUAACACUAACUGGAGGACCGAACCGACUAAUGUUGAAAAAUUAGCGGAUGACUUGUGGCUGGGGGUGAAAGGCCAAUCAAACCGGGAGAUAGCUGGUUCUCCCCGAAAGCUAUUUAGGUAGCGCCUCGUGAAUUCAUCUCCGGGGGUAGAGCACUGUUUCGGCAAGGGGGUCAUCCCGACUUACCAACCCGAUGCAAACUGCGAAUACCGGAGAAUGUUAUCACGGGAGACACACGGCGGGUGCUAACGUCCGUCGUGAAGAGGGAAACAACCCAGACCGCCAGCUAAGGUCCCAAAGUCAUGGUUAAGUGGGAAACGAUGUGGGAAGGCCCAGACAGCCAGGAUGUUGGCUUAGAAGCAGCCAUCAUUUAAAGAAAGCGUAAUAGCUCACUGGUCGAGUCGGCCUGCGCGGAAGAUGUAACGGGGCUAAACCAUGCACCGAAGCUGCGGCAGCGACGCUUAUGCGUUGUUGGGUAGGGGAGCGUUCUGUAAGCCUGCGAAGGUGUGCUGUGAGGCAUGCUGGAGGUAUCAGAAGUGCGAAUGCUGACAUAAGUAACGAUAAAGCGGGUGAAAAGCCCGCUCGCCGGAAGACCAAGGGUUCCUGUCCAACGUUAAUCGGGGCAGGGUGAGUCGACCCCUAAGGCGAGGCCGAAAGGCGUAGUCGAUGGGAAACAGGUUAAUAUUCCUGUACUUGGUGUUACUGCGAAGGGGGGACGGAGAAGGCUAUGUUGGCCGGGCGACGGUUGUCCCGGUUUAAGCGUGUAGGCUGGUUUUCCAGGCAAAUCCGGAAAAUCAAGGCUGAGGCGUGAUGACGAGGCACUACGGUGCUGAAGCAACAAAUGCCCUGCUUCCAGGAAAAGCCUCUAAGCAUCAGGUAACAUCAAAUCGUACCCCAAACCGACACAGGUGGUCAGGUAGAGAAUACCAAGGCGCUUGAGAGAACUCGGGUGAAGGAACUAGGCAAAAUGGUGCCGUAACUUCGGGAGAAGGCACGCUGAUAUGUAGGUGAAGCGACUUGCUCGUGGAGCUGAAAUCAGUCGAAGAUACCAGCUGGCUGCAACUGUUUAUUAAAAACACAGCACUGUGCAAACACGAAAGUGGACGUAUACGGUGUGACGCCUGCCCGGUGCCGGAAGGUUAAUUGAUGGGGUCAGCGCAAGCGAAGCUCUUGAUCGAAGCCCCGGUAAACGGCGGCCGUAACUAUAACGGUCCUAAGGUAGCGAAAUUCCUUGUCGGGUAAGUUCCGACCUGCACGAAUGGCGUAAUGAUGGCCAGGCUGUCUCCACCCGAGACUCAGUGAAAUUGAACUCGCUGUGAAGAUGCAGUGUACCCGCGGCAAGACGGAAAGACCCCGUGAACCUUUACUAUAGCUUGACACUGAACAUUGAGCCUUGAUGUGUAGGAUAGGUGGGAGGCUUUGAAGUGUGGACGCCAGUCUGCAUGGAGCCGACCUUGAAAUACCACCCUUUAAUGUUUGAUGUUCUAACGUUGGCCCCUAAUCGGGGUUGCGGACAGUGUCUGGUGGGUAGUUUGACUGGGGCGGUCUCCUCCUAAAGAGUAACGGAGGAGCACGAAGGUUGGCUAAUCCUGGUCGGACAUCAGGAGGUUAGUGCAAUGGCAUAAGCCAGCUUGACUGCGAGCGUGACGGCGCGAGCAGGUGCGAAAGCAGGUCAUAGUGAUCCGGUGGUUCUGAAUGGAAGGGCCAUCGCUCAACGGAUAAAAGGUACUCCGGGGAUAACAGGCUGAUACCGCCCAAGAGUUCAUAUCGACGGCGGUGUUUGGCACCUCGAUGUCGGCUCAUCACAUCCUGGGGCUGAAGUAGGUCCCAAGGGUAUGGCUGUUCGCCAUUUAAAGUGGUACGCGAGCUGGGUUUAGAACGUCGUGAGACAGUUCGGUCCCUAUCUGCCGUGGGCGCUGGAGAACUGAGGGGGGCUGCUCCUAGUACGAGAGGACCGGAGUGGACGCAUCACUGGUGUUCGGGUUGUCAUGCCAAUGGCACUGCCCGGUAGCUAAAUGCGGAAGAGAUAAGUGCUGAAAGCAUCUAAGCACGAAACUUGCCCCGAGAUGAGUUCUCCCUGACUCCUUGAGAGUCCUGAAGGAACGUUGAAGACGACGACGUUGAUAGGCCGGGUGUGUAAGCGCAGCGAUGCGUUGAGCUAACCGGUACUAAUGAACCGUGAGGCUUAACCUUACAACGCCGAAG